ACAUUUUUUAGUGUUGAAGGCUAAUAUAUUUUAGUAAUGCUUCAAUGAACUGUGGUAGCAACAAAUAAAUUGACUUCUGUCUCAAAAUAUGGGGAGAAUUAUAAUUAUAAUUAGGAUUACAGAAAAAAACAAAGGGGUAUUACAUGCUGCUGAAAUGCUUUUGAGUGGAUUGUUUUAUUUGGACCCCCUCCACCCUUUAAAUCUGAUACAUGCUAAGAUUUUCAUGUGCACAGCCACCUCCUAAUAUGUGGUUUUGCUUCUGUACAAGCAUGGAAUCCCCUCUGCAGUUAUGUUUACUUGUGCAUCUCCGGCAGCUGGAGGACGAAUCAUAUCAGGUUGAUGAGUGUGUCACACUUUUCAUCCCCCAAGUGAGUGUACUCCCAGGCCCACCUUUCUGGAAAAUGUUCUUUGGUGCAGGGUGGAUGGUGGGCCAGGGAAUCGUCUGGGCUUCCCAUUAAUCUCAGAGGAUGGGAGAAUAAUCCCUUCACAAAUAUGGGAAUGGGGGCUGCUCUGAGGCUGGCAAAUAAUAAACAAUGAGGGUUUCUUUUUUUUCCUUUUUUUAAAUCCUGGAUUCCUCUAGCCCUCCUCUCUUAGUCCUCAGCAAUAACUUAGCCCUUGUCUUCCUCUCUGAAGGAUUUAAAUGGAAUGACCUUAAUUCUCGCUUUGUUUGCACUCUAUCUCUUAAGGAGCUGCAAUGAAGACCAAGACAAACAGUAGAUUAACAGUGCUACCUUUUAUAAGGCUGAUUAGUUCCUAAAAUAUGCUGAAAGGAAACAAAACCAAAAAGAAAAGAGUGGAAAGGGGGGUGAGACAGAAACCUUUGUCGGUUAGUUUGAAACAGCUCCAUUUCUUUCAUUAGUUGCAGAUAUUGACCUUCCAAUGAAAUAUUUUCUUUGUGUGAGAGGCUUUGCCAGGGUAGCAUUUAUUAGGCAGGUGCCUGGUAAGUGUUUCUAAGCAAAUAUUACUUUACUGCCUAAUUUUGGUUUAAGGGGAAAGUUGUACCAGGGAUGAAUUUGGAAAACAUUUGAUGAUGGUUCAUCUGCUGCCCCUUAGAGCAGGGGCUAUCAAGUGGUUGACAGUAUCCAAAUCAGAAUUCUAAAGAUGCUCUUCCAUCUGGAAUCAUUAAGAGGAGCACAGCCUCUUAGAAUCACAUUCAGCUCCUCUGGAUUUGAAGGAAUUUACAGAGAAACUUCCAAGACACCUCAGCUAUAUCCAAAUGAAAACCUAAGCAUUAUAGGUUUGGCAGAGCUGAAAAUGUGUCUCUGGAAAGAAAAAAAAAUUACAUAAAGCUCCACAGAAAAUAUUUCUGGGCAUCAGCUUGUUUCCUUUGAGGGAUGGGAGGUUGUUCCUGAAAUUUUUCAAUUUAAAGUUAAAUAAAAAUGUGAAAGACCAGGGUACUUUAAUAAGAUGAUAUACCUGCUUAUAAUAAUAGGAUAAUUCACAUCCUCAUUGUCAGGGCAGAAAGGCUCCCAAUAAGGUCAGUCAUUAAACUCAAUAUGUUCCAUUCUUUGGUGCUGUCUCGCUUAGAUUCUCAGCGCCACUUGUCUGCCCUUCUUUUCCACUAUGCACCUUUAUUGCAAAUUUAGUUCCAUUAGGUAGAUGCUUGCAUCAUUAUGAAGUCUGAUUCCAUCAUUUUCAAAGUGCCAAGCCAUUUAAAUAUGAUACAGUCCUUGGUCAUAUUUAAUCCAAACAUUUACACACAUCCAGGCCCUUCUUAUCUUUUUAAAUAGGAUGCAGAGCUUAUUUUUAAAUUACAUCCUCAUUCAUGCUUCAUAAAAGCAUCAAGUAAAACCGUCCAUGGGAUUUACAUUCUGGUCCACAGGUGCUGCUUCCAAUUCCUGGCAUGGCCGUUAAAUCCUAGCCUCAGCAUAAUUCUCGGCAUGACACUCUUGUGUCGAGGCAAAAAAAGGAAAAACAGAAACAGCCAUUUUUUUUCUCUCCCAGAAAUUAAGCCGCACAGAGGAGCACUGCAGCUUUUGCUUUCUUCCCUAUGUAUACCUAAUUUAAAGAGCAUCUUAAAAUAAGGUUCCCCAGACAAGGGAUGUCAGUGGGAAGUUGAGGUGCUUGAAAUAAAGCAAGUGCUUACUAAAAACGGAUAUGUGCAUGAUUUCUUUUAUCACAUGUCAAUUAGAUGUGCAUCUAUUCGGGGGAGGUUUCUGUUGAUAUAAUGAGUCUUUCCAUGACUUGCGUGCCAUAACUGUCACCACAGCAUCCCAAAAGUCCUGAGUCAUCUGUAGUCACCCCUCAAACCCUUGGUACGGUCCAUUCCAUGAAUUCCCCUUUCUCCCCAACAAGCUCACUCUCCUAUCAGUUUCUAGUCUAUUAGAUUCGGUCAUAUAACAAGUACACAGAUGCCCCAAAGCUAUAGAGCCUUAGCUUGCUUGCUUCAAUUUCUAUACAGUUACUGGCAUCAUAAGAAAUCUCUUUAUCAAUUUGGAAAGGCAGUUGGAACAAAUUAGUGUUUGCUUAAUUAAACCAACACGCACACACCCUGGUCUCCACCUACCUUGUAUCAUUUUGUACUUAGAAACUCCUGAUGGUGCAGUGGGGGCUGCAGGGAGAGUCUGCGUGAGAUCCCCAAAUGAUCACAACUGUGCAAUUGUCCUGGGUGCACUUCUCUGACAGGCUGCCAUUUGUUCCCACUCACCUAGAGAGCUUGUGGAUAGCCUGAGAGGGUUGUGCGCGAGUGUGCGUUUUAGCAAAUUUUCAAAAGUUGCCAUGGGGAGAGAAUAGAAAGAAAGCCCUUCAAAAAAGAAAAUUAUUUUCACAGCAUCAUCACUAGAAAAAACACCCCUGCAACGGAUAUCUUUGAAGGUCGACUGCAAUCUGAACUAAUUGGGGAGGGAGGGAGAGCUUUCAAUUUUGCUCACCUUUUAUAAGGGGUCUCAGAGAAGUGAUCGGUAGCCAAACGCUUCCUGCAAUGAGUGGUUUGGACACUUUCUAAGCAAAAGGAAAGGCUCUUCCAGCUUCUUCUUGUUCAUGUCACUGAGAGAGGUCACCACCUACCCUCUUUUACUUGCCACUUCUGAUUAUGGGGUAGGUUCUGCUCCAAAAGUCAUCUUUUGUGGUGAGGACAUAAAUCCCCUCCCCAGUAAUGAAAUGCUUGAUAAGGAGGAGGGGUGGAAGCAGGGAGAGUGAGCUGGAAAGCCUCAAGAUCACAGCCAAGGAGCAUUAGUUAUAGGCCUUUACUGAAAAUCAACCUCAAUCUCUGUGAAUGUACUACAUUAAACCAAUAACAGACAACAAGCUUGUGAAUAUUCGGCACCGUGAUGAAAUCGGCCGCAGCCCUUCCGCAGUGGGGAGGGAGGGAAGCCCAAUCUAGGAAGUGCUGGUACUCCUCCCUGGAGUGUGUCUGUUGUGAUUGCUAGCUGGUUUCCACAGAUCCUUGCUGAAUAUUAUGCCAUUAAACAGUACGAAAGGAAAUCAAAAUAUAUGUUUACUGGGUACUAAAUAGUAAGUGCCCUUUCAAAUGCUCUUUAAUGGCUAGGCUUUAAAGUCAUCGUGGAGCACCCUCAGAAAGCGAAAGCAGCAUGUUUCACAGAUUUCUGUUGCUGUAAACCACCAUGAGAGGCUGAACAAAUGCACGCUGAGAUUUGUGAACACCCCGCGACUCUGGACCCUUAAAGGUACAUUCAGAGAGAGAAAACAGCCUUCUGCCAUGUGUAUUUUUUAAAGUACAAUUUUAAUUGAAAAAUUGCUGAUGGCUUCAGCUGAAUUUUCUCAGAUUACAUGACAGUCAACGUCUGGUUCAGCAUAAUAGAUAUACUUCCUGGGGAAAUAGGGAAAGGAAUGUAUGUUUCAAUGGUGAGUUAUAGUGAGCAGUGGCUAAAUAGGACAAAAUACUGGCGUGAAGAUACAGGAAUAACCAUUUUCAUUUAUAAGCUAAGAACAGUCACACAUCACUUAACAGGGAUAUGUUCUGAGAAAUGCGUUGUUAGGUGAUUUCGUCAUUGAGCAUCAGAGAGUGUGCUUAUAGAUGGUGGAGCCUAUAUACAAUUAGGCUAUAUGGUGUAGCCUAUUGCUGCAAAACAAACAUAUUUUGAUUUUCUUUCACACUGUCUAAUGACAUACUGGCUCCCAGGCUACAAACCUAUGCACCAUGUUACUGUACUGAAUAGUGUAGGCAGUAGUAACACACAGGAAAAAAUGUGUGUCUCAAAACUUAGAAAGGGUGCUACAAUACUAUGAGGGACAUCAUGAUGGCUGUGAUAACACUAGAUAAUAGGAAUUUUUCAACUCCUUUAUCUUAUGGGACCACCAUUGUAUAUGCUGUCCAUUGUUGACCAAAACAUUAUGUGGUACAUGACUGUACAGUUCUUGUAAUUUCUUGUUCAAUGUGUUUGUAUUAUGUUAAAUGUACUAGUACUCAAUGUGUGAGCAGACAGGGAACAGAAUACAAAGUUCAGAAAUAGGCCGUAAACAUAAUAUACUUUAGUAUCUGAUAAAGGGAGCACAAAAAGUCAGUGGUGGGAAAAGAUGAAUUUUUCCAUAUUUGGUGAUAGGAUAGCUAUAGCCACCUGGAAAUAUCUAAAGUUGGAUCUGUAACUCAUUCCUGCUCAAGGAUUAACUGUUAAUAUUAAAUUUAAAAGAAAAAAUAUUCAAGCACUAUAAAAAUUCAUGGGAGAAUUUCUUUAUAACCUUGGAGUGGAGAAAGAAGCCAUAAGGAUGGAUGUGAUUGUAUAAAAAUCAGAACUUCUGCAUGGAAAAAACUCCAGAUAUGAGUUUCCCAAACAAGUUGGGAAAAAAAUAUUUGCAACUCAUGACAUAAUUAAAGGGAAAGUUUCCCAAACAUAUAAGGAACUCCUAGAAAUCAGUAAGAAAAAUAUUAACACUCCAAAAGAAAUGUGGACAAAGAAUUUAAGAAGAUUAACAUGAAAACAAAUACAAUUGUCUCACAACAUAGAAAAAGAUAUUGACAUCACUAGUAACAGAAAGUAAUGAAAACUCUAGAGUACUACUCUUUUUUACCUAUGAGAUUGGCUGAAUUUCAAGAGUUUAAAACUACCUUUUGUUGUCAAAGUUGGGAAAACAGGUACUUUACCCUGUCAAUGGGAGUGUAAAAUUGGAAUAACCUCUACAGAGGGGAAUUUAACAAUUUGCAUCAAAAUUACAAUUGCAAAUAUACUCUAACCUAGAAAUUUCACUUCUGGGAUUUUAUCUUUUAUAUUUAUUUACAUACAUAAGAAAUAAAUGCACAAGGUUAUUCGUUAUAAAGAACGGAAUUUUGAGAACACACCAAAUGUCUAUCAAUAGGGAUUAAAUAAAUUAUAGUUCAUCCAUACAAUGGAUCACUAUGCUGUUGUAAAAAGAAAAAGGGAGAAGAUCUCUGUGCUCUGAUAUGAAAAGACAACCAAAUAUAGUGGUAAGUGGAAUGUGCAGAACCGUGAAUAGUAUGCUACCAUUUGUUCAUGCAAGAGGCAAAAUAAGAAUCUUAGUAUUUUGAAAAAAUAUUUUCAUAAACUCCAGAAAACUACAAAAGAAACAAUAGUUAGGUAACAGUAGUUAUAUGUGGAGGAGUAAGAACUAGACAGAUGAAUUUUAGGCAUGGGAAGGAAAACUUCACAGUUAAACCUUUAAUCUUUUUUUGUUUUCUAAAUAUAUUUUACCAAAUGUUUCCUACUUAAAACUGUAUCAUAAAAUAAAUGAAACCGCUCAAUAAAUAUUAAAUCAUUUCACAAUCAAAAAAAUCAAAUAAAAAAUUUAGACCAAAAAUAACUAUCCCAGUACUGAUGUUGAUUACAUCUACCAAAGCAAUGAUGGGAGAUGACUUAGAGCAAUUUUGAUAAGAGCCAUUAUGAAUUUGGUCCUAGCCUAUGAUAUACCCUUUCACUUACCAUAUCCAUAUGCUACAUGCCUGUUUUCUGGCUUAAAAAAUUGGGAAAAUUGAAAAAUAAAUCAAGGAGGGAUAUUUAUUUUGGUUAACUUCAAAAACUUUUUUUAUCAUUUGAAAUAAGAAAUUCUUCUUUGCAGUUAGCUCUAAUCUUUUGUUUAAAAAAUCAUUUCUACAUUCCCAAAGUAAAAAUUGACCUGCAUAUUAUCUUACCACCAAAAGAAAGUUUGCCCAACUCUGCAUUCUGCUUCAAAUCUUAACUUUUAACAUAUCUUAGGGUUAAACAGAACAUAAGGUUAAAGUAGCACAGCCUGGAGAAUCAAUGAGUUGAUGCUACAAUUGUAUAGUUAAAAACUGUAUUUACUCUAAAUUGCAAAAUGGUGGGUAUUGUAUGAGAUGUUUAAGUCACAGCAAUUGUUCUAGUAAUAAAUGUAAUAUUCAGCAGCAUUUUCAUAGAUUACUCAGUUCAUCAUUAGUGCCAUUUUUGCCUCUUUAUAAUAAUGUGCACUUUCCUUUAGAAAGAGCUUGGUUAUUUCUUUGGUUGGGCCUAUUUGCUCCUUUUUUAUGUGAGAUUUUUCAAUACUAUGAAAUGAUGCAGAGCAAAAAAGGUCCAUCCACUUCACUUGUGUUGCCUCCUGCGUUACCUAAACCACAACAGAACAAUGACAGACAACAGAGCCUUUCUCCUCUCUAACAAUUCAGUCACCAUGACAACCAGCAGAAGAACGUUGGGCCAGAAAAAAGCAUUGAGCUUGAGGGACUAGACUAAUCAAAAAAUGGAAUAACAUGGCAACAAUUACACUGAUGAGUGAGAGGGAAGCUACAGAUGCAUUCAGACACCUAUGGCACCACAGACUCAACGCAUUCAGCAUUUUGUGUUUAGUGUCUUGUGUUUUUGAGAGCAGGAAUGGAUCACCUCUCCUCAAAGAAAGUAAAAGGCAUGAAAUACCAUCAUUCUCAUGGAGAAAUCGGAGGGUCAGCAUUUAAAGUCAUCACAUUUCAAACACCAGAAUUUGGGCCAGGCACAGCGGCUCAUGCCUGUAAUCCCAGCACUCUGGAAGGG
This is a non-coding RNA of Macaca mulatta (Rhesus monkey), 6893 nucleotides long. Lineage: Eukaryota; Metazoa; Chordata; Mammalia; Primates; Cercopithecidae. The record is from RefSeq and is a predicted model, not a curated record.